AUUGAACGCUGGCGGCAUGCCUUACACAUGCAAGUCGAACAGCAGCACGGGUGCUUGCACCUGGUGGCGAGUGGCGAACGGAUGAGUAAUACAUCGGAACGUACCUUAUCGUGGGGGAUAACGCAGCGAAAGCUGUGCUAAUACCGCAUACGCCCUGAGGGGGAAAGCGGGGGAUCGCAAGACCUCGCGCGAUUAGAGCGGCCGAUGCCUGAUUAGCUUGUUGGGGGGGUAAAACCCCACAAAGGCGACGAUCAGUAGCUGGUCUGAGAGGACGAUCAGCCACACUGGGACGGAGACACGGCCCAGACUCCUACGGGGGGAAGCAGUGGGGAAUUUGGGACAAGGGGGGAAACCCUGAUCCAGCAAUGCCGCGUGAGUGAAGAAGCCUUUGGGUUUGUAAAGCUCUUUUGUCGGGGAAAAAACACCGGCUCUAACACAGUCCGGGAAUGACGGUACCUGAAGAAUAAGCACCGGCUAACUACGUGCCAGCAGCCGCCGUAA
RNAcentral lists this ribosomal RNA (501 nucleotides) under uncultured bacterium. RNAcentral describes it as "partial 16S ribosomal RNA". It matches the Rfam family "Bacterial small subunit ribosomal RNA", at positions 29 to 523 of the family's 1533-position model. The record is from RNAcentral.